Long non-coding RNA from Antechinus flavipes (yellow-footed antechinus), 237 nucleotides. RefSeq lists it as uncharacterized. The transcript has 2 exons. The record is from RefSeq and is a predicted model, not a curated record. Lineage: Eukaryota; Metazoa; Chordata; Mammalia; Dasyuromorphia; Dasyuridae.
UCCUGGAUAUAUCUAUAGUGUGUGCCUAUAGUGUAGGGGGUGGGGAGAGGGUGGGGGUGCAUAGGAGGGUAGCAGAGCAUGUUCUAUUUUUACUAGCCAGUUGCUGUGGACCGUAGAUUUCAUAGUCUCCACCAGCCUUCAGCCCCUUGCAGUCUGCAGUCCUCCAGCAGCCCUAGACCAUCCCAACUCUCCUAAGACUGUAAUAGGUGCUGCUUUCCUUGCUACCAUGCCUGAACC